GUAGGCAUAAGUAACGAUAAUGCGGGCGAGAAACCCGCACACCGAAAGACUAAGGUUUCCUGAUCAACGCUAAUCGGAUCAGGGUUAGUCGGGACCUAAGGCGAAGCCGACAGGCGUAGUCGAUGGACAAUCGGUUAAUAUUCCGAUACUUGUUAUAACUGUGAUGGGGUGACGAAGCAGUGAAAAUCCCGCGUACUGACGGAAUAGUACGUUGAAGGCUGUAGGUAUACUAGGCGAUUGGAAAAUCCGCGCUUAGUGCUAAAGGCUGAUAGUACCGAAAGUCCUCGGAUGAUCGGAUAGUGGAUGUAAGCAUACUUCCAAGAAAAACCUCUAAACUUCAGGUUAUAACAACCCGUACCACAAACCGACACAGGUGGUCGAGGAGAGAAUCCAAAGGUGCUCGAGUGAAUCAUGGCUAAGGAACUAGGCAAAUUAACCCCGUAACUUCGGGAGAAGGGGUUCCCGAUAGCAAUAUCGGGACGCAGAGAAAUGGCCCAGGCGACUGUUUAUCAAAAACACAUGGCUUUGCAAAAUUUUAAGAUGAAGUAUAAGGCCUGACACCUGCCCGGUGCCGGAAGGUUAAGUGGAGAUGUUAUUCUGAGCAAUCGGGAGAAGCAUUCAAAUGAAGCCCCGGUAAACGGCGGCCGUAACUAUAACGGUCCUAAGGUAGCGAAAUUCCUUGUCGGGUAAGUUCCGACCUGCACGAAUGGUGUAACGAUCUGGGCGCUGUCUCAGCCAUGAGCUCGGUGAAAUUGUAGUUCCGGUGAAGAUGCCGGAUACCCGCAACGGGACGGAAAGACCCCGUGCACCUUCACUACAGCUUAACAUUGACUUUGGAUAAAUCAUGUGUAGGAUAGCCGGGAGACUAUGAAGCAGGGCCGCCAGGUCUUGUGGAGUCACCCUUGAAAUACCGGCCUUGAUUUAUUUGAAGCCUAAUCCCGCGAAUGCGGGAGACAAUGUUUGGUGGGUAGUUUGACUGGGGUGGUCGCCUCCAAAAGAGUAACGGAGGCUUUCAAAGGUGCCCUCAGCAUGAUUGGUAACCAUGCGUAGAGUGCAAUAGCAUAAGGGCGCUUGACUGCGAGACAUACAAGUCGAACAGGGUCGAAAGACGGAUAUAGUGAUCCGGUGGUUCCGCAUGGAAGGGCCAUCGCUCAAAGGAUAAAAGGUACGCCGGGGAUAACAGGCUGAUCACUCCCAAGAGCUCACAUCGACGGAGUGGUUUGGCACCUCGAUGUCGGCUCGUCAUAUCCUGGGGCUGGAGAAGGUCCCAAGGGUUCGGCUGUUCGCCGAUUAAAAUGGCACGCGAGCUGGGUUCAGAACGUCGCGAGACAGUUCGGUCCCUAUCUGUUGUGGGCGUUAGAAGUUUGAGAGGACCUGACUCUAGUACGAGAGGACCGAGUUGGACAAGCCUCUAGUGUACCUGUUGUGGCGCCAGCUGCAUCGCAGGGUAGCUACGCUUGGUUAAGAUAAGUGCUGAAAGCAUCUAAGCACGAAACUUGCCUCAAGAUGAGACUUCUUUUAAGGGUCGUAGCAGACGACUACGUUGAUAGGC
RNAcentral lists this ribosomal RNA (1552 nucleotides) under sediment metagenome. RNAcentral describes it as "bacterial LSU rRNA". It matches the Rfam family "Bacterial large subunit ribosomal RNA", at positions 1296 to 2861 of the family's 2925-position model. The record is from RNAcentral.